This is a non-coding RNA of Pangasianodon gigas (Mekong giant catfish), 72 nucleotides long. Lineage: Eukaryota; Metazoa; Chordata; Actinopteri; Siluriformes; Pangasiidae. The record is from the annotation of a GenBank genome assembly.
UCCCUAGAGGACUAGUGGUUAAGCCUCGGCACACUCGCUGCCACGGCCAGGGUUCGAUACCCGGCCAGGGAA